GAUGAACGCUGGCGGCGUGCUUAACACAUGCAAGUCGAACGGAAAGGCCCAAGCUUGCUUGGGUACUCGAGUGGCGAACGGGUGAGUAACACGUGGGUGAUCUGCCCUGCACUUCGGGAUAAGCCUGGGAAACUGGGUCUAAUACCGGAUAGGACCACUCCUUGGAUUUUGUGGUGGAAAGUUUUUUCGGUGUGGGAUGAGCUCGCGGCCUAUCAGCUUGUUGGUGUGGUAAUGGCCUACCAAGGCGUCGCCGGGUAGCCGGCCUGAGAGGGUGUACGGACACAUUGGGACUGAGAGCCGGCCAAGACUCCUACGGGAGGCAGGAGUGGUGAAUAUUGCACAAUGGGCGCGAGCCUGAUGCAGCGACGCCGCGUGGGGGAUGACGGCCUUCGGGUUGUAAACUCCGUUCGCUAGGGCCGAAGCGUUUUGUGACGGUACCUGGAGAAGAAGCACCGGCUAACUACGUG
This 467-nucleotide ribosomal RNA is filed under the name uncultured bacterium. RNAcentral describes it as "partial 16S ribosomal RNA". It matches the Rfam family "Bacterial small subunit ribosomal RNA", at positions 28 to 507 of the family's 1533-position model. The record is from RNAcentral.